This 254-nucleotide ribosomal RNA is filed under the name uncultured bacterium. RNAcentral describes it as "partial 16S ribosomal RNA". It matches the Rfam family "Bacterial small subunit ribosomal RNA", at positions 524 to 776 of the family's 1533-position model. The record is from RNAcentral.
UACAGAGGUCCCGAGCGUUGUUCGGAUUCACUGGGCGUAAAGGGUGCGUAGGUGGUUGGGUAAGUCUGAUGUGAAAUCUCCGGGCUCAACCCGGAAAUGGCAUUGGAUACUAUUCGGCUAGAGGUUUGGAGGGGGGGACUGGAAUUCUCGGUGUAGCAGUGAAAUGCGUAGAUAUCGAGAGGAACACCAGUGGCGAAGGCGAGUCCCUGGACAACACCUGACACUGAGGCACGAAAGCUAGGGGAGCAAACAGG